RNAcentral lists this unclassified non-coding RNA (225 nucleotides) under uncultured Alphaproteobacteria bacterium. Its description in RNAcentral is "contains 16S-23S intergenic spacer region". It matches the Rfam family "Bacterial small subunit ribosomal RNA", at positions 980 to 1198 of the family's 1533-position model. The record is from RNAcentral. Lineage: Bacteria; Pseudomonadati; Pseudomonadota; Alphaproteobacteria.
AACCCUUGACAUGUCCCGUAUGGGCCUCGGAGACGGGGUCCUUCAGUUCGGCUGGCGGGAACACAGGUGCUGCAUGGCUGUCGUCAGCUCGUGUCGUGAGAUGUUGGGUUAAGUCCCGCAACGAGCGCAACCCUCGCCUUUAGUUGCCAUCAUUCAGUUGGGCACUCUAGAGGGACUGCCGGUGAUAAGCCGGAGGAAGGUGGGGAUGACGUUAGCCUAUCGAGA